This 433-nucleotide ribosomal RNA is filed under the name uncultured bacterium. Its description in RNAcentral is "partial 16S ribosomal RNA". It matches the Rfam family "Bacterial small subunit ribosomal RNA", at positions 29 to 507 of the family's 1533-position model. The record is from RNAcentral.
AACGAACGCUGGCGGCAUGCCUAACACAUGCAAGUCGAACGAGACCUUCGGGUCUAGUGGCGCACGGGUGCGUAACGCGUGGGAACCUGCCCUUAGGUGCGGAAUAACUCCCCGAAAGGGGUGCUAAUACCGGAUAAUGUCUUCGGACCAAAGAUUUAUCGCCUUUGGAUGGGCCGGCGUUGGAUUAGCUAGUUGGUAGGGUAAAAGCCUACCAAGGCGACGAUCCAUAGCUGGUCUGAGAGGAUGAUCAGCCACACUGGGACUGAGACACGGCCCAGACUCCUACGGGAGGCAGCAGUGGGGAAUAUUGGACAAUGGGCGAAAGCCUGAUCCAGCAAUGCCGCGUGAGUGAUGAAGGCCUUAGGGUUGUAAAGCUCUUUUACCCGGGAUGAUAAUGACAGUACCGGGAGAAUAAGCUCCGGCUAACUCCGUG